Molecule: ribosomal RNA, 422 nt
Filed under: uncultured bacterium
Lineage: Bacteria
Description: bacterial SSU rRNA
Rfam family: Bacterial small subunit ribosomal RNA
Source: RNAcentral
UAAGGAAUAUUGGACAAUGGAGGCACCUCUGAUCCAGCCAUGCCGCGUGAAGGAAUAAGGCCCUAUGGGUUGUAAACUUCUUUUAGACGGGACAAAACCCCUUUACGUGUAAAGGGUUGAUGGUACUGUCAGAAUAAGCAUCGGCUAACUUCGUGCCAGCAGCCGCGGUAAUACGAAGGAUGCAAGCGUUAUCCGGAAUUAUUGGGUUUAAAGGGUGCGUAGGCGGACUAAUAAGUCAGUGGUGAAAGCCUGCAGCUUAACUGCAGAAUUGCCAUUGAUACUGUUAGUCUUGAGUACAGUUGAGGUAGGCGGAAUGUGUCAUGUAGCGGUGAAAUGCUUAGAUAUGACACAGAACACCGAUUGCGAAGGCAGCUUGCUAAGCUGUAACUGACGCUGAGGCACGAAAGCGUAGGGAGCAAACA